UACGUAGGGUGCAAGCGUUAAUCGGAAUUACUGGGCGUAAAGCGUGCGCAGGCGGUUUUGUAAGUCUGACGUGAAAUCCCCGGGCUCAACCUGGGAAUUGCGUUGGAGACUGGAAGGCUAGAGUGUGUCAGAGGGGGGUAGAAUUCCACGUGUAGCAGUGAAAUGCGUAGAGAUGUGGAGGAAUACCGAUGGCGAAGGCAGCCCCCUGGGUCAAGAUUGACGCUCAUGCACGAAAGCGUGGGGAGCAAACAGG
Molecule: ribosomal RNA, 253 nt
Filed under: uncultured bacterium
Lineage: Bacteria
Description: partial 16S ribosomal RNA
Rfam family: Bacterial small subunit ribosomal RNA
Source: RNAcentral